Cynoglossus semilaevis (tongue sole) is the source of this 1866-nucleotide long non-coding RNA. RefSeq lists it as uncharacterized. The transcript has 3 exons. The record is from RefSeq and is a predicted model, not a curated record. NCBI's taxonomy places the organism in Eukaryota, Metazoa, Chordata, Actinopteri, Pleuronectiformes, Cynoglossidae.
GUUCAUAAGAUACUGGCAACAAAAAAGAAACAAGAGGCAAAAAGGCAAAAACUCCAGAAGGAAAAUGCCAAGAGAACAAAUGGAGAGGGGAAAGAGGAAGGGGGUGUUAGUUAUUCUUUCUUUUUAAAUUUCAAUUUACUGUGACAUUCAAGUACAACAUGGCAUGACUUGAGUGAAACCCUUCUGGUACUUUGUCGUCUCCUGUUCAGGGACCAAAGAAGGACAUUGCAGUCAUUGACGUGGAUCCUGAGCCCUUUCCUUCUAUCCCAAGAGCCAUCAUCCUGGACCUCAGCCCCGUUAACUUCCUGGACACGGUCGGAGUCAAAGCACUACAAAAUGUAUGGAGGUCAAAAAUAAACAAAAAAACAAACAAACAAAGGGAUGAGCAAAAGACAGGCUCUAUGAUAGGGAUAGGAUGGAGAACAAGAAGAAGAAAAAUAAGAAAAAAAAUAAAAAAAAAAAUGUCCAAAUUUGUCCGAAACAAUAUGCAAAAAGUAAAAGAAAAAAACCCAGCUGUUUCAAAGUUAUUAGGAAUAAAUUCAUAAAAUGUACAGAACAUACAGAAGGACACUGUAAGAGUGUGUAAAUGUGAUAGUAUUGGUUUGAUUGAAAGUAAUACUGUUGGUAUGAGCUACAAUAACAUCAGCAAUGUUGAGUGUACAUGUGUUUUUAAACUUUAAAAAUAUUUUUGUAUAAUGAGAGACUAGAUGAGUAACAGUCAGAACAUGUUGGGUUUAUUAUAUUUUUAAUAAUUAUCCACAGUGAACCACCUGUGUUUUCUAGCUUUUGUGUUGCUUUUUGUGUGCUGUUUCAGAUCUACAGAGACUACGGAAAAAUAGGUAUAGAAGUUCUUCUGGCUGGAUGUCAAACUGGUGUAAUGGACCAGUUGAAGAUAGGAGGGUAUUUUUCUGAUAAAGUGACAAAGUCCUGUGUGUUCUCCACCAUCCACGACGCUGUUCUGUACUGUCAGCCUGUCAGGAGAACAGCUGAGGAGUUCAUAACCACUAAGCUUUGACUCUUGUCUUGUUGGAGCAGAGACCCUGGUUUACCCUGACGUUUGAAUCACUGCUCAUUUUCUUUCCAAGUUCAAUUGUAGACAUUUCACAUAUCAUCCUAGAAACUCCUUCAGUUCGGAGGGGCAGUGGUAAACCUACAGAUUUCCAGCUUGGUCACAUGAUCUGUGCACACGUUACUCCAACAAUGAUCGAAAACCUUCGUGGAGAGUCCGAUCAGCUGUGGAUCAUGAACGAGUCAGUCGUUGGAGUCGCCUUCAUUUUUACCAUUAUCGCGCUACUUUAUUUUAUUGAGAAAAAAUCACAACACAAUUAAACAGUGCUGAGAACAGGGACCAGAUGGCUCCGCAGUUUUGUUUUUUUCUUUUUUAUCCCGAGUCACAAAGUACCAAACAUGUCCUAAACUGUACAGGACCAGAACUGUGGACCGACCUAUUCAAGGUGAAGCUCCUCAGAGAGACAGCAUGAAAACAAAAUGAUGCAAGAAAGCAAAGUUUGAUGGUUUAAUGAGUCAGUUAACCUUUUCAGUAUUAACUAGGUUUACUGUAUGAGCAUGUUAAAUUUAAAGUGAUCAUAACACACAGUUAUGAGACAUCCUCCCAGAAUUCCUGUUGUAGGUGUUGUAUAUUACCAAUUGUUUAACAAAGGCUCCAGUCGGCCACACAUAUUUAUAUGCAAUUUCCAAUGUAGUCAUAUCGGUGUUGUGCUAUUUAUUUUGUGUCAAUAUUAAGCGUGUAGUUCUCCUUCUCUCCCUCUGGGUGGUACCAAGUACUUUUGGCUGGAGUGUGAUGGUUCAUUACUUCUUUUAUUUAUAUAUAGAUCUAUAAAACGAAUUCUUCCACUCAGUCAAAAC